Molecule: unclassified non-coding RNA, 216 nt
Filed under: air metagenome
Description: partial contains small subunit ribosomal RNA, internal transcribed spacer 1, and 5.8S ribosomal RNA
Rfam family: Eukaryotic small subunit ribosomal RNA (bases 1-46)
Source: RNAcentral
AAGUCGUAACAAGGUUUCCGUAGGUGAACCUGCGGAAGGAUCAUUACCGUAGGGGGGCUUGCCCCUCUUCGAGAUGGCACCCUUGAUUUUUGAGCACCCUCUUCGCUCGUCGAGCAUGCCCGACAGCGGAUAACCUAAACCCUUGAUUGCAAUAGUAGUACGCUCUGAUAAACCAAACAAAAGUCAAAACUUUCAACAACGGAUCUCUUGGUUCUG